CAGCUGGUCUGGAAACGCCCUACAUCUGAUACUGACGAUGAAUUCAUCAUGUGAGACGAUCCUCCAUGUCUACCCACAUAGCUACACUUACCUGCAUCUGUCAACUCGGAGGAGAAUCAUCCUGGGAAGCUGACAAGCUGGUUCUCAUUUACAAGGUCACAAGGCUAAGGUCAAAUUUACACAUGAUGAAUUCAUCCAUACUUUUCAACAACUUGACCAAUUGAUAUAAGUGUUACAUACAACUUUAUGUAUUUGAAGAAAUUGUCUUCUGCAAAUUUGUUCUCUAUUUAAUAUGAUUGGUUCCUUCAAAUGUUUUAAUGAUUUCUUAGUUACAAAAAAAGUGAUCUCACAGAUUAGUAUACUGGAAGGGCUAGCCGAGGAAUGGCGGACAGGACCGGACACACUGACAGUGUCAAAAAUAACCCUCAAAGGUUUUUGUAUGAAAAAAUAAGUUUAAGCAUUCAAAACAAUAUUUUCCCUCAAAAUAGCUUGUAAUGAAAUGAGUGAUAAAACCAUCACAUAGCUAUCUUGGUAAGUAUGUAUGUUAAGUAUGUAAUUAUUUAGAGAAUCUCAAUUUCACAAGUACUGUAUUGAAAUUCAAGUGCUGUAAUUAGAAUGGUUGCCCAAUCCAAGGGAGAUAAUUCCUUUAUUUUGUACCACACAUGGGAUCUUGUUUUAGGAAAUUUUUGUGGUAUUUAUGUAAUGCCACAUUGUAUAUGAUAAAGUAAGAGUUUUAUCAGUCAAACAUUUAAUGCAAAUUAUUUGACAGUUUUUAGGUUCGGGAUUAACAUCCUAGUCUUGGCUUUGUAUUUAAUAUUAUCUUUUUUUUCUCAGUAACAGUGAAAAAUGUUUAUGGAAAUGUCCAUUUGUUUGUACAUAAUUAUAUAAGCAUGUACAUAAGCAUUGUGUGGUUUUGUAGAAAUUGAGGUUAUUAGUACUGUGGAAUACAUUAAUUAAUAUUAUUCCAAUUAUGUUUCCGAUGUAGUUAAUUCAAUUUAUAAUUAAAUUAAUGACAGGUACAUUCUCUUUUGUUUUCAUACAAUUGGUAUUUUAGUUAUUGUAAGUUUAAGAGAAAAAAGUCCAACUGAUGCAGAAUUGGCUUAUGAAUAUAUUGUUAUUUUACUUAUUUAACAACCUAUAUCUUGUAAAUAAAAUGUUUAUGUACAGAUAAACAAAAUUCAAUUAGCAAGAAUAACAUCCAAUCUUUCCAUACAUUAUACAACUUGUUUAAAUGAAGAUUUUUGUUAGAUUUUGUUUGAUACAAUUAUCACUUGUGUAUUUUGUCAGAGCUCAUAUUAAUCUUGCCAAAAUAUUUGUUGCCAAAACAAUUACUAGAAAAUUACUUCAUGCACCAGUUCAUAAUAGUGAUUCUUUUUUUAAUUCAAAAUUUCUUCUGGUAAACUGUUAGUCCAAAGCUUCGUCUGAAAAAACCCAGCUGUUAGACCAAACCUUCUUUUGGUAAAAAAAAACCUGUCAGUCCAAAGUUUUUUCUGGUAAAUUGUCAAUCCAAAAUUUCAUUAGAUGAAGAAAAUUUAUGUUACAAGACACCAUUUGAAAACAAUAAAUUAUACAUAAAAUUGAUCUUGCAUGAAAUGAUAUCCAUUAAAAAAAUUAGGUAAUGGCUAAUAGGUUCUUGUGAAGUCAUUUUCAUUAGAAUAUAACUUAUGAUAUCAGACAAAUACUUCAAAUGGUAAAAUGAUUAUAAAACUUCUGAUGAAAUAAUGUUGGUUGUUUUAGUAGCUAUGAUCCCUCAGUAAAUAUUAUCCCUCAGUAGCUAUGAUCCCUCAGUAGCUGUGAUCCUCAGUAACUAUGAUCCCUCAGUAGCUAUGAUCCCUCAGUAGCUACGAUCCCUCAGUAGCUAUGAUCCUCAGUAACUAUGAUCCCUCAGUAGCUGUGAUCCCUCAGUAGCUGUGAACCCUCAGUAGCUGUGAUCCUCAGUAGCUAUGAUCCUCAGUAGCUGCGAUCCCUCAGUAGCUACGAUCCCUCAGUAGCUAUGAUCCUCAGUAGCAGUGAUCCUUAGUAGCUACGAUCCCUCAGUAACUAUUAUCCCUCAGUAGCUAUGAUCCCUCAGUAGCAGUGAUCCUUAAUAGCUACGAUCCCUCAGUAGCUAUGAUCCCUCAGUAGCUACGAUCCCUCAGUAGCUACGAUCCCUCGGUAGCUGUGAUCCUCAGUAACUAUUAUCCCUCAGUAGCUACGAUCCCUCAGUAGCUACGAUCCUUCAGUAGCUAUGAUCCCUCAGUAGCUACGAUCCCUCGGUAGCUGUGAUCCUCAGUAGCUGCUAUCCCUCAGUAGCUACGAUCCCUCAGUAGCUACGAUCCCUCAGUAGCUGUGAUCCCUCAGUAGCUGUGAUCCUCAGUAGCUGCGAUCCCUCAGUAGCUAUGAUCCCUCAGUAGCUAUGAUCCUUCAGUAGCUAUGAUCCUCAGUAGCUGUGAUCCCUCAGUAGCUGUGAUCCCUCAAUAGCUAUGAUCCCUCAGUAGCUAUGAUCCUUCAGUAGCUAUGAUCCUCAGUAGCUGUGAUCCCUCAGUAGCUGUGAUCCCUCAAUAGCUAUGAUCCCUCAGUAGCUACGAUCCCUCAGUAGCUACGAUCCCUCAGUAGCUGUGAUCCCUCAGUAGCUAUGAUCCUUCAGUAGCUAUGAUCCUCAGUAGCUGUGAUCCCUCAGUAGCUGUGAUCCCUCAAUAGCUAUGAUCCCUCAGUAGCUAUGAUCUCUAAUGCGCUGACAAUGGACUUCAGUUGUGAUGAGUGCAUUAAAGCAUCAGCUUCAGACGACAUUUCCAGAUUUUAUUAGUCACCCCCGACACGAUGCGUAGAUUUCCAAAUACGUAAAAUAAAAUAUGUGGCAAGAUGGACAAAUGAAAAUAUUGCAACAAUGAUAUAAAUAAUUUAUGGUAUUGUCAAAUUUGAAAUUGUAUAGAAACCUAGAACAUGGGUGUAAGACAAACUGGUGGCAGGAGAUGAUAUUUGUUGUGUUAGUUGUUUCAGCACCAAUGGCACAUUGGGACAUAAAAACUCCACAGAGCUUAUGUUGAUUGUUAACCUUGUAAACAAUGUUAAAUAAAGGUUAUUUUCAUUUUUCAUUUUAAAGAUACUCUUUAAAUAAUAGCUGAACACAAAAAAUGUCCAUCAGCUAUUUAAGAUAAUAAAAAUAAAACUAUUGUAGAUGAGUAAGAAAACUAUGUUAAUCCUUUUUUUCCAGGCAUUCAAGUUUGGCCAUAAGUAUACCAGGUAUACUGUAGUCAGCUUGUCCAGCCAACUGUCUAGUUGUAGACAGAAUUUUGUCUGAGUAUGAUCGUCUAUGCAUAGUUAUUUUUUUUCAGCAAAUAUUUUUUUUAAAAUUUUUUUGGGGUUAUACUGUGACCUAAAAUGUAGUUGUACCCCUACACAUGAUUUUUGAUUUUGACAUUUUUUACAGAGGUUAUGCCCCUUGUUGUAAUUCUUUACAAUUGUAUUCUGUUAAUUUUCAGUGAAUCAUUUUCAAACUUUAUUUAUACUGGGAAUAAUUAUCUAGUUAUCACUGUAAAUGUAUAUUAUAUACCUGUAUACACACACAUAUAGUAAUGAAUGCCUGUUCUUACCUGUAACUUGCUAAUAUUGAGAAGAUGGUGGUGCAUGGAAUUUAUUACCCACAAACUGGGUCCAGAUGAGAUAAUUAACUGUGAAAUGGUAGCUUAACUCACACAACUAUUAGUAUUAUUGUCAUAUACAUGUAUAAGUUACUGGCAUUCUUAGUAUUGCCAAAACUUGACAUUUUACCAGACUUCUUGUAUUCCUUUCUCAUUAAAUUCUGUUUGAUAAGAGUUCUUUCUGUUGCAACACAUAUUAAACAAUGUAUUGCAGGGGAAAUGAAAGUUUGAUGAGAGCAGAGUGUGUUAGUCAGCUAUCCAGGCGACUACUCUAGUUUAUAUUUACAGUACUGUUGUAGGAAUAUACAUAUUAUUAUGUACAUCUAUAUGUAGUAUAUUUAUUUUUACGUAUGUUUCAAAGUUUUAUUUCAAUUAUUUAUUUUUGUUUUAAAUCAAAUCUGUUUUACCUUAUGUCUCUUAUAUUUUUCUUUUAAUGACCUUUUGUACUGUAUAUUUUUUACAUUACAUAUUAUACAGAGGUAUUCUAAAGACUAGAUAUUAAAGGAUUCCCUCCAUAAGAACAGUUCUACACUUUAAUCUCACUCCAUGUAUACUGCCUUAAUAUCUAAGUCAGAAAAACAAAUCUAGUCACAAUAUAACAAAGAAAUCAAUCUUAAAUCAAAAUUUUAUCAUAGAAUUUAUAUUUAGAAAUAUAAAUUCAAAUGAAGAAAUUUAUAAUGAAAAUCAAAAUUAGUUUUUCAUCUUUUUUUAGAAGGAAUGUUUCUUUGUAAUGGGGUUAGAUUAGGACAUUGUUUUAUACAGGUUGAGUAUUGUUUUGUGUUUUGAGUGUGAAUAAGACAUAUGAUUGGAUAUAGUAGGCCCUGCUGUAUGGUAUACUGUAAAAUACUUAAAUUAACAAGGAAUAUGAACUAUAUAGCCAGUAUAAGCACCCUCCCCAGAGGGAUGGAACACUUUGAUGAUAACACCUCACAUUUUGGUCCUUAACUUCUCAUUAUGGUUUUCCCUCUCUAGUAUACAUGAUUAUUUAAUAAAAAGUGCCUUUUUCUGUGAAGCACUUAUCAACCUGCUCUUGACAGCAAACUUUAGUGAGAGUUAUCCUUUAGUUAUAUUUUUUUUUUUAUUUCUGUUUUUUUUUUAAUUGGCUUUUAAACACUGCCCUAGAUUAAUCUAACAGACAUUUUAUGUAAAAAUUAUGGUACUGUAAAUUGUGGAAUUUGAAUUUGCAGCCACAUUUUGAUAACUAUUCUCUAUGUCUCUUAAAUAUUGCAACACAUAGUUAAACUUGUAUAUGAAUUCAUAAUAUUAUUAGCAUGUUGAUAUUGUUCCUCAGUUUUCUAAGAUGAGUGCAGAAUUUGUUUUCCCUGAUGUAAUUUCUUCUUAGAAGAAGGAUUUAUAAAAGAGAUAUUAUUUUUACUGUUUUUGAUCAAAUGAAUGAAUUGUCUUUUGUCACACAAGUGAUUUUAAAAACAAUAUUGGUGACACAAACUAUGUCAUCAGUACCGUUGCCACAUUUGGUGAAGCUAACUGUAAUCGGACAUGUUUAAUACAUGUAGUUUUCACAUCUUUUGUGAUACUUCCAUUGUUGUACUGUAUGGUGCUAUAAGAAAGUUUUCCAAAGUUUUGUGUCUGGAACAUGAAAGAAUUAUUCCUACUAAAGAAAUUCUUUGUUAAAAUGUUAAAAUGUUAUAAUAUUUACCUAUAUUGCUGUUCAAAUCAAAGUUGUAUACAGCAGAUUGGCAUAAGAUAUUCCUAACAAUGAAUACUCCUUACAAAAUAAUGUACCAAAACCUGUCUAACUCGACCCCUGUAUAUUAUGCUAUCCUGUUACUUGUAAUCUUAAUAUUGAAUUAGACAUUUCAUUAUGCCCAGUAUAUUGUGGCUUGUAAAGUGUCAGAUUAUACAGGUUAAAGUGACCAGUAUGUUGUGUCCUAUAAAGUGUUGGAUUAGACAGGUUAAUGUGACCAGUAUGUUGUGUUCUAUAAAGUGUCGGAUUAGACAGGUUUAAGUGACCAGUAUGUUGUGUCCUAUAACGUGUUGGAUUAUACAGGUUAAAGUGACCAGUAUGUCGUGUCCUAUAAAGUGUCGGAUUAGACAGGUUAAAGUGACCAGUAUGUUGUGUUCUAUAAAGUGUCGUAUUAGACAGGUUAAAGUGACCAGUAUGUCGUGUCCUAUAAAGUGUCGGAUUAGACAGGUUAAAGUGACCAGUAUGUCGUGUCCUAUAAAGUGUCGGAUUAGACAGGUUUAAGUGACCAGUAUGUUGUGUCCUUUAAAGUGUCAGAUUAGACAGGUUAAAGUGACCAGUAUGUUGUGUCCUAUAAAGUGUUGGAUAAGACAGGUUAAAGUGACCAGUAUGUUGUGUCCUAUAAAGUGUUGGAUUAGACAGGUUAAAGUGACCAGUAUGUUGUGUCCUAUAAAGUGUUGGAUUAGACAGGUUAAAGUGACCAGUAUGUUGUGUCCUAUAAAGUGUUGGAUUAGACAGGUUAAAGUGACCAGUAUGUUGUGUUCUAUAAAGUGUCAGAUUAGAGAAGUUAAAGUGACCAGUAUGUGGAUAAGACAGGUUAAAGUGACCAGUGUGUUGUGUCCUAUAAAGUGUUGGAUUAGACAGGUUAAAGUGACCAGUAUGUUGUGUUCUAUAAAGUGUUGGAUUAGACAGGUUAAAGUGACCAGUAUGUUGUGUCCUUUAAAGUGUCAGAUUAGACAGGUUAAAGUGACCAGUAUGUUGUGUUCUAUAAAGUGUCGGAUUAGACAGGUUAAAGUGAUCAGUAUGUUGUGUCCUAUAAAGUGUUGGAUUAGACAGGUUAAAGUGACCAGUAUGUUGUGUUCUAUAAAGUGUUGGAUUAGACAGGUUAAAGUGACCAGUAUGUUGUGUCCUUUAAAGUGUCAGAUUAGACAGGUUAAAGUGACCAGUAUGUUGUGUUCUAUAAAGUGUCGGAUUAGACAGGUUAAAGUGAUCAGUAUGUUGUGUCCUAUAAAGUGUUGGAUUAGACAGGUUUAAGUGACCAGUAUGUUGUGUCCUAUAAAGUGUCAGAUUAGACAGGUUAAAGUGACCAGUAUGUUGUGUCCUAUAAAGUGUCAGAUUAUACAGGUUAAAGUGACCAGUAUGUCGUGUCCUAUAAAGUGUCAGAUUAUACAGGUUAAAGUGACCAGUAUGUUGUGUCCUAUAAAGUGUCGGAUUAUACAGGUUUAAGUGACCAGUGUGUUGUGUUCUAUAAAGUGUUGGAUUAGACAGGUUAAAGUGACCAGUAUGUUGUGUUCUAUAACGUGUCGGAUUAGACAGGUUAAUGUGACCAGUAUGUUGUGUCCUAUAGUGUUGGAUUAGACAGGUUUAAGUGACCAGUAUGUUACGUCAAACAAGGUGUCAAAUUAGACAGAUUUGGUUUAACUUGAUAUCAGAACAAAAAAACAGGAAAGAAAUGUAUAUGUCCAGUAUUUUAUAGGGGUAUCUUACGCCUUUCUAAAACAUGUGACAUAGAUUUUGUUAGCAACAAAACAGUCCUCAGUCCAGGGGUGUGUUACUGACUACAUGAUACAUAUUGUUUGAUAUAUAUUUAAUUCAAAUUUAAAUUUAGAUUUUUACAGCUAUGGUAAAAGAAGCAUCAUAUUUUUUGUUCUUAUCUUUAUUUCAAGAUGGUUGUUUUAACAAACUUGUUGUUACUUUAAAUACAUAGUAUCCAGAAUUUGAUUCUAUACUUAGAUCUAUAUACUGUUCAAGUUAGGAGGAGGACGUACAUAGGAGAAAUUAGCAGAUUUAUCUAACUGCCAGACUACUCAUUGUAUUGUAGAAUGUUAGUUAUAUUUGUGCAAAAGAUUUUGUUUUAUAUUUAGUAUUGUUAAUGUUUACAUGUUUACUAUAUAUAUACAAUAUUGUGUCUAGUGAUUAAAGAUGUUCUGUUUAAAAA
Pecten maximus is the source of this 7480-nucleotide long non-coding RNA. RefSeq lists it as uncharacterized. The transcript is spliced from 2 exons. The record is from RefSeq and is a predicted model, not a curated record. Lineage: Eukaryota; Metazoa; Mollusca; Bivalvia; Pectinida; Pectinidae.